Molecule: ribosomal RNA, 237 nt
Filed under: uncultured bacterium
Lineage: Bacteria
Description: partial 16S ribosomal RNA
Rfam family: Bacterial small subunit ribosomal RNA
Source: RNAcentral
CCGGCACGGGUGAGUAACACGUAUCCAACCUGCCGUCUACUCUUGGACAGCCUUCUGAAAGGAGGAUUAAUACAAGAUGGCAUCAUGAGUUCACAUGUUCACAUGAUUAAAGGUAUUCCGGUAGACGAUGGGGAUGCGUUCCAUUAGAUAGUAGGCGGGGUAACGGCCCACCUAGUCUUCGAUGGAUAGGGGUUCUGAGAGGAAGGUCCCCCACAUUGGAACUGAGACACGGUCCAA